Molecule: non-coding RNA, 205 nt
Organism: Oryza meridionalis
Lineage: Eukaryota; Viridiplantae; Streptophyta; Magnoliopsida; Poales; Poaceae
Source: Rfam
UAUAAGUGUACUUUAUACUAUUCAUUUCCAACGAUUGACCAUUCAUCUUAUUUGAAAUUUUUUAUGAUUAGUAUUUUUAUUGUUAUUGGAUGAUGAAACAUGAAUAAUACUUUAUGUGUGACUAUUUUUUCUUAGUUUUUUCAUAUUUUUUUAAAUAAAACGGACGGUCAAACGUUGGACACGGAUUCUCACGGCUGCACUUAUU